RNA transcript from Solanum dulcamara, 1976 nucleotides. It is a transcript of the gene named ankyrin repeat-containing protein ITN1-like, with no coding region annotated. The record is from RefSeq and is a predicted model, not a curated record. The transcript is spliced from 3 exons. Lineage: Eukaryota; Viridiplantae; Streptophyta; Magnoliopsida; Solanales; Solanaceae.
UGACUUUAUGAAAUAAUAACUCAACCCUUGUUACAUAUUUGUGGUAGGAAAUUUGGAUGACCAAAACAUAUAUCUUCUGUUCUUUGAGCUCUCUGCUAUUACUCAUGGAAUUCUUAUCUGAAGAUGAAAGAAAGCAUGACAUGAAUAAGAAGCUUUACGAUGCAUUGAUGAAACAAGAGAACGAUAAAGUUUUACAACUCUGUCGCGAACUGGAAGCGGGGCCAUUGCAUAUAUUAACCGUGCACGAUGACACAGUCCUCCAAGUGGCUGCCUACUCUAAACAAACAGCUUUGGUUCUCUGUUUACUGAAAGAGUUGGAAAUGCGAUUCCCUGAGUUUCCUGUAGAUGGACUAAAGCAUCGUAAUGGUUUGGGUAAUACCAUUCUUCAUGAAUAGCCACUUUUGACAGAGUUGAUUCAACUGCGAAGAUAAUAUUGGAUAGAGAACCUGAAUUACUUGGUAUGCGCAAGAAGAGUGGAGAGACUGCUCUAUGCCGUGCUGUUCGUUAUGGGAAAACAGAGAUGUUUGAUUUUCUUGAUGAACAAGUGAAUCGAUAUUUUGAUGUUAAUCAACGCGAGGCUUGUUAUUAUAAACUUGGUGGAGCCACAAUUCUUCAUGCUGCUGUACGCGCUAAGCACUUUGGUUUGGGCCUGUCGAUUGCUAAAAAGUACGAAUAUUUGGUAAAUGGACGAGAUGCAGAUGGAAUGACUGCUCUUCAACUUCUUGCAUGCAACCGACAAGCAUUUGAAAGUGGAGAGAAGAAUGGUUAUAUCCAGAGAUCCAUUUACACUCGUAAGAUACUCCAGCUGCUCCGCUCUGUAUGAUCUGAUUUUUUUUUCUACACAGCUAAAUGAAAGGAUGUGUUUUUAAAUGAAGAUCUCUCAACUGAACAUAAGGCUGCCGGUAAGGCUCCACACCACCAAAUCAUUGUAAUCCCACAAGUGAGGUUUGGAGAGGAUAGGGUGUAAGCAGAUAAAACUCCAUAUACCCUACAUAAAAAAGUUGGAACAUCGCCUUCUAUUUUUUGGGUAGCUUACAAGAUAUUCAUCACUUCAAAGGCAGAUCUGUAGGUUCAAAUGUUCCCCUUUCUUUUAGCUAAAACUGUUUAUACAUAUGCAAAAAAAAUUAAAAAUAAAUAAAUUAAAACGUUACAUGUAGUAAGACCAUGCUCACUGAUCAGCAACAUAAAAACCCAAUUGCAUUGUACUUUUUUCAAUCUAUUUCACCUCUGCAAGAAGCAAUCCAAUCAACUUCACUCAUCAAUUUUGUUUUUCUUUUUUUCUUUUUUCUUUUCCUUGAGAAGCUGAAAAAUGUUAUAGAGUGCCUUUGGUGGAGCGUAUGCGUAAGAAAAAACAGAGGUAUGAAUCAGUUUUGAAACUUGCCAAGUUCUUGAUAGCAAAGGAUACUUCUUGGGAGUAUUCGCAAUCUGCAGUAAAUCAGAUCAACCCUCGAUCCCACAAAUAUAGACUAAUGUUAGAUGUUUUAAAAAGCCAAGAAAAAGAGGAACAAGAUGGUGUUGCACAAGCAGGACAACCUGUUACAAAAAUAGCUGAGUCACCAUUGAUCUUGGCAACUAAAUCAGGUUGCACAGACAUUGUAGAUCAGAUACUGAAAACAUAUCCCCAAGCUGUGGAGUAUGUUGACAGUAAAGGUCGUAAUGUUUUGCACGUUGCGAUCAAGUACCGCCAGAUGCAAAUUUUCAACAUAGUUGAGAAAAUGGCAAUGCCAAUGAGGAGACUCAAGAGAAAAGUCACUCAUCAGGGAAAUACCAUACUUCAUAUGGUUGGUGUAAAACAUCAGGACAAUGAAAUUGCAGAUAUGAGAAGCCCUGCUUUGCUAUUGCAAGAGAAUUUGCUCUUGUUUGAGGUAAAACUCAAUAAUUGAUUCAACCUUAUAAGAUGAUGUACACUGCCAACAAUCUUUUUAAGUCAUUUAAGUUAUGUUUAUUUGUUAUUAAACUGUAUUGAAAAAUAUUAA